GUCCACGCCGUAAACGAUGGGAACUAGGUGUUGUGGGUGUUGACCCCCGCAGUGCCGAAGCUAACGCAUUAAGUUCCCCGCCUGGGGAGUACGGUCGCAAGACUAAAACUCAAAGGAAUUGACGGGGGCCCGCACAAGCGGUGGAGCAUGUGGUUCAAUUCGACGCAACGCGCAGAACCUUACCUGGGCUUGACAUCCUCGGAACCUGCAAGAGAUGGUGGGGUGCUCGCAAGAGAGCCGAGAGACAGGUGCUGCAUGGCUGUCGU
Molecule: ribosomal RNA, 266 nt
Filed under: uncultured bacterium
Lineage: Bacteria
Description: partial 16S ribosomal RNA
Rfam family: Bacterial small subunit ribosomal RNA
Source: RNAcentral